RNAcentral lists this ribosomal RNA (466 nucleotides) under uncultured bacterium. Its description in RNAcentral is "bacterial SSU rRNA". It matches the Rfam family "Bacterial small subunit ribosomal RNA", at positions 330 to 793 of the family's 1533-position model. The record is from RNAcentral.
GCCAGACUCCUACGGGAGGCAGCAGUGAGGAAUAUUGGUCAAUGGGCGAGAGCCUGAACCAGCCAAGUCGCGUGAAGGAUGACGGCCCUACGGGUUGUAAACUUCUUUUGUCAGGGAGCAAUUGGGUCCACGCGUGGGCUUAGCGAGAGUACCUGAAGAAAAAGCAUCGGCUAACUCCGUGCCAGCAGCCGCGGUAAUACGGAGGAUGCGAGCGUUAUCCGGAUUUAUUGGGUUUAAAGGGUGCGCAGGCGGAUUUUUAAGUCAGCGGUCAAAUCGUGGGGCUCAACCCCAUCCAGCCGUUGAAACUGGGGAUCUAGGGUGUGCGAGAGGUAUGCGGAAUGCGUGGUGUAGCGGUGAAAUGCAUAGAUAUCACGCAGAACUCCGAUUGCGAAGGCAGCUUACUAAACUAUAACUGACACUGAAGCACGAAAGCGUGGGGAUCAAACAGGAUUAGAUACCCCCGUAC